This 286-nucleotide long non-coding RNA is filed under the name Elaeis guineensis (African oil palm). RNAcentral's name for it is "long non-coding RNA (EGUI_LNC004422)". Lineage: Eukaryota; Viridiplantae; Streptophyta; Magnoliopsida; Arecales; Arecaceae. The record is from RNAcentral.
CUCAGAAGAGUUGAGCUCUCUAGUCAGCUCGGUAUUGGUUCUUUCUAUCUGCUCCAACUGGUACUUCAACAAGUCAAUCUCCUUCCUCACUGCUGUAAACUCUAGUACAAAUGCAUUAGAAGUAGAACCAACGAAGCUGGCUAGAUGAUGCCCAACCUGCACAAAAUUAACAUCAAGGCUAUUAGAUGCUGUAAGUCACAAGAGAUAGGAAGGAGAGAUUCAAAAAAUUCCUUACCUGGGCAAGGGACUUGAGGGCAGUCACCAUCCAUUGCUGAGCCCCUUAUUC